Long non-coding RNA from Xenopus tropicalis (tropical clawed frog), 3623 nucleotides. RefSeq lists it as uncharacterized. The transcript has 3 exons. The record is from RefSeq and is a predicted model, not a curated record. Lineage: Eukaryota; Metazoa; Chordata; Amphibia; Anura; Pipidae.
AAUUAAAAUAAAUAAAAAAAUGCUCCCAGUUUUCGCAACAGAGUUCCUAAGGAAAUCUGUUUAGGAAUCUACAAUCUGCACCUAUAGAAGUGAUGUCACGCCACUGAAAGUGAUGUCACGCACACUCUGCAUGUGACCUCACUUCCGCACCAUAGGUGGCGCAUUUAGGUUUACUGCCUAGGGUGUCUUCGGAUUUAAAUGCAACCCUGGUGGUAGCUCUCUUGUUCCCCUGCAUCAAAAGCACAACUGUGUGUUAUUUGGAACAGGAGGCAGACAGGACUGAGCGGCACUGAGUGCAACUAUAUGAAAAUGCAAGGAGUACCUUUUAAUGAAAGUGCUUUUAAUUAAUGGAAUUUUUUUGCAACUGACUGCAACUGCACUAGCAGUUGUAAAUGACCCCCAGUAAUUUUGUACAAUACAGUGUCACUGAAUCAUGUAACAAUUAGGCACCAUUUACUAAUGCUAUAACACAAGAGCCAUAAAUAUCCCAUAAAACAUAUCCUCAUUAAUACUGCUUAGUAAUAUAAUUAGUGUCACAUGACUCCAUGCAACUUGUGUAGGAGAAAGUACAACUAAGGGGGUUCCCAGAACAGAAUGCCCAUGCUCUGUGCUUUCAGACCUUAUGUAUUCUCACACAUAUAUACUGUAAUUUUCAGCAUCUUUUUGUUGAUUGAAGCCCAGAAUGUGUGACCCUAGUGUUGGGCCCAGUCAUUACGUGACUAACGCUCUCAGUGAGGCACAUACAUUGGGAAGGGCUGUGCCCUGGCUGCACAAAAACACACUCAUUGCUCUCAUGCAAUACAGCAGUGUUACAUGACACCAGUCUGAACCAGCUGCUCUCUCCCCUGGGAUGUUCUCUCUAUAGAAAACUACUCUCGAGAUCUGCCCGCCCACCAAAAGCCCCUUUUCACUAGCCCCCCCCCUCCCCCAUUUCACAGCACAUGGUGGGGUAUUAUUGCAUCCUGCCAGGGGGUUGCACUCAUUCACUCAUCAUCUAUGUGCCAGGAAGAACUCCCAGCAGAGGUAGCAGUCUGGCUGUUGAUCCUGUGAAGGGAACAAACAAACAAGGGGGGACCUGGGUACCGCUGGACCAUUUCUAGCUGUGGUUACUGUGCACCAAAACACCAGAAGUUUCAUCCGUUAAAUGAAGGUACCAUUUACCUCUGCAGUUCUCCUCCUUCUUUCUCCUUAAAUAAGAAAGUCUCCAUGUCGGACAUCAUGAACUGCAGCGAUACUUCCCGACUGAGAAGUCUUCUGACUCAGCUCCUUCAGGAACUUGGCAAGGCCAACAGCACCAGUGCCCCGGUUGAAGAGGAUAACAAUGAUGCGUACAUGUAUAUUCUGCUCAUCAUGAUCUUCUAUGGAUUCCUGGCAGGGGGCCUUAUAAUGGCCUAUACCAGAUCCAGAAAGCAGGAGUCCAAAAACGACCCUUACCACCUUUACAUAGAAAGUGAAUGGGGUACAAAAGCCAAGAAUAUGACCACUGCUAUGGAUUACCAGCCAAGGGGCAGUAUAGAAAGUGAACAGUUAUUAUGAAGAAGUUACUUUGACACAAACAACGACAUGAUGCACCUCAGUCCUUAAAGAAAUGGAAAGACCUUCUUUUGAUUUGCAUCAGAGGGGGAUACCAAGUGGAAAUAUUUGCAGUUCACUGCAAAAAACUGGGCUCAGAACUGCCUAUACACAGAAUUAAUGCAAUGAUACUAUGUAUUCUGUAAAACAAAAUGCAUGACCCAAAUGCAUAUACAUGGUUGCUGCACGUAUGGCUGUAUGCACACUACCCAGUUGGAUAAUAUUGUAGGGCUUCCAGUUGUAGAGAUUAGCAAGGAGUUCCCAGACUUACAUUAUAAGUUAACUCCUUCCUGGGUAUCUGGGUCUACCCAGAGCCAGGAAUAAACAUUUUAUAGUAUUGCUUGCAUGGACUUUCUCUCUCUCAAAACAUACAUGUUUUAUGGCUGAAAAUCAAGCUAUUUUAAUAUCAGUGAACAGGGGCCUGCAAUGUCAUCCUUAACCCACUGCCUUUAUUAUAAAUUGCUGUAGGAUUUGGAUAUCUGGAUUUAUUUGUUGGGGUUGUUGAAAAAAUAAGUACUGCUUGCUAAAUGUAUUUAUUGCAACACAGAAAUGUCCGUGCCAAGAGAUACCAGCUCUCUUAUCUUCAAAUGAAAAGCUAAAUGAAUAGGCAAAUUAUAUAUAUUGUAAGCAAGGUACAGACAAGCCUACCAACAUCAGUUCUGAUAGUCUGAGCUAACUGAUUGGUAGGCUGAAAUCAUUCUAUAGGAUUCUUGCAUUUGUAACUUGAUGACUCGAUGUGGGCGCUUUGGUCAAUACAAAAUGCUGGAACCCCAACCCCUGGUAAUGAUACUAAAGAAAAUGCAGAGCUUGUCUAAAUUUAUUUUUGCUUUUUGUUUAGCUACAUAGUCACACUGAAACACUGAAUUACUUAUCAUAUAGAAGGGAGGAUUAUGCAGAGAUACAGUAUUGCUUUCAUUUAGUGGGAAAAUGAUCUAUGAUGAGAGUGAAGGGGACACAGAGUGGGAGGACUAGUAAGUAUCCUGUAUGGAGCUGUAUACAGUUUCCACAUUGCAUUUCUGUAUUUAAGUCUGACGUCCUCUUUACAAGUCUGCAUUUAGUACAUGCCUUCUAACAAUCCAAACCAUGCAUGAACUGUGUGGAGCGAAGGUCUUUGAAGUCACCCUCAAGCUCUGUAUUCAUAAAGCACAGGCACACAACACCCAGUAGUGCUUAGGGGCACUACUACAUUUUGCCCCUAUUUAUGAUAUAGUGUUUAUCAAUCCUAUGUUGUCACCUUAAAGGGAUUGUUCACCUUUGAAAUACAUUUGAGUAUAAUUUAGAGAAGACUAAUUUGUUAUUUAUUUGUGUGUUUUUUAAUUAGCUUUUUUUUUUUUUAGCUUUUUUCAAUAGCUCUCCAUUUUUAAUUUCAGCAGCUAUCUGGUUGCAAGGGUCCAGACAACCCUAGCAACCAAGCAGUGGUGAUAUGAAGUGGGGAGGGCCUGACUAGAAAGAUAAAUAAUAAAAAGUAAGAAUAACAAUAAAAUUGCAGCCUCACAGAGCAAUAAUUUUUUGACUGCCAAGGUCAAUGACCCCCAUUUGAAAUCUUGAAAUAGACAGAAGGAGACAAAUAAAGUUGCUAAGCAUUGUCCAUUCUGUAACAUACUAAAAAGUAACUUAAAGGUGAACAACCCCUUUAAAACAAAAGAGUGGACAUUUAAGAAGUGGACAUUUUUGCUUUUUACAUAGAAUUCCCUGUACAUAGCAUGUGGUUUUGCCUAUUCACUGUCUGUCACGACUUCUGUCAUAAAUCUGUGCAUAAAUCUCAUUCUAAAUGGCUCCAUAACACAAAAAUUUACUUUUUUGUAAGGGUGGGGACCUACAGAAUGCGAGUUUAUUUUGCAAAUGAUUCUUUCAUGAUCUAUAAAAUGUAUGUUGCUCUUUAUACAACAAAAAAAACAGUGCAGUUUAUAAUCUCCUGUUGCUGUAUAAGGAGUUCCCUAAAAGUGCUUUGGCUGUAUUGUUUCUGUUUUCUUUCUGUCAAUGAGAUGGUGAGGCAUUUAUUGUCGCCAUCGACAUGCUCAGUUACUCACAAAUACUGACAAGUUAAACUA